UCAGACGAUGCGUCAUGCAUAUCAAUAAGCGGAGGAAAAGAAACUAACAAGGAUUCCCCUAGUAACGGCGAGUGAAGCGGGAAGAGCUCAAAUUUGAAAUCUUAAAGGGUUUCCCUUUACGAAUUGUAGUUUAAAGAAGUGUUUUCUGUUGAGGUUUUGGUAAAAGUUCUUUGGAAUAGGACAUCAUAGAGGGUGAGAAUCCCGUAUUUGACCUUUACUUUCAACUUUGUGAUACACUUUCAAAGAGUCGGAUUGUUUGGGAAUGCAGUCCAAAAUGGGUGGUAAAUUUCAUCUAAAGCUAAAUAUUGGCGAGAGACCGAUAGCGAACAAGUACCGUGAGGGAAAGAUGAAAAGAACUUUGAAAAGAGAGUUAAACAGUACGUGAAAUUGUCAAAAGGGAAGCGUUUGACACCAGUGUUGUUUUUCUGAAAAUCAAUUAAAGAACUGUUUAUGCUAAGCUGUUUAGACUUUAUCAGCUAACUGUUUAGUUUUGAGCUUUUCUUUAAUGCACUUUUCAGUUAACAAGUCAACAUCAAUUUCUUUUGCUGUAAAAAAGCUUGAGGAAGGUGGCUUGAGAUUCGUCUUAAGUGUUUAUAGCCUCUUGCCUAUGCAGUCGGAGAGAUUGAGGUCUGCAGCGUAGAUCCUUCGGGGCUAAAUGCAUUUGUGCUAAGUUAUAGCAUUUUAUAGACAACUUGUUGACUAUGAUUUGCCUUGUAGCUUACUCGCUUAUGUUAUUUUACCUACGCUUAGGAUGUUGAAUCUGUGCGAGACUAC
Molecule: ribosomal RNA, 774 nt
Filed under: uncultured Neocallimastigales
Lineage: Eukaryota; Fungi; Neocallimastigomycota; Neocallimastigomycetes; Neocallimastigales
Description: partial large subunit ribosomal RNA
Rfam family: Eukaryotic large subunit ribosomal RNA
Source: RNAcentral